UUGAACGCUGGCGGCAUGCCUUACACAUGCAAGUCGAACGGUAACAGGUCUUCGGAUGCUGACGAGUGGCGAACGGGUGAGUAAUACAUCGGAACGUGCCCGAUCGUGGGGGAUAACGAGGCGAAAGCUUUGCUAAUACCGCAUACGAUCUACGGAUGAAAGCGGGGGAUCUUCGGACCUCGCGCGGACGGAGCGGCCCGAUGGCAGAUUAGGUAGUUGGUGGGAUAAAAGCUUACCAAGCCGACGAUCUGUAGCUG
RNAcentral lists this ribosomal RNA (257 nucleotides) under uncultured bacterium. RNAcentral's name for it is "partial 16S ribosomal RNA". It matches the Rfam family "Bacterial small subunit ribosomal RNA", at positions 30 to 289 of the family's 1533-position model. The record is from RNAcentral.